RNAcentral lists this ribosomal RNA (575 nucleotides) under Rahnella aquatilis. RNAcentral's name for it is "partial 16S ribosomal RNA". The record is from RNAcentral. Lineage: Bacteria; Pseudomonadati; Pseudomonadota; Gammaproteobacteria; Enterobacterales; Yersiniaceae.
UAAAACCAUUUGUCGUCGUACUCGCCCAGGCAGUCGACUUAACGCGUUAGCUCCGGAAGCCACGCCUCAAGGGCACAACCUCCAAGUCGACAUCGUUUACAGCGUGGACUACUCAGGGUAUCUAAUCCUGUUUGCUCCCCACGCUUUCGCACCUGAAGCGUCAGUCUUUGUCCAGGGGGCCGCCUUCGCCACCGGUAUUCCUCCAGAUCUCUACGCAUUUCACCGCUACACCUGGAAUUCUACCCCCCUCUACAAGACUCUAGCUUGCCAGUUUCAAAUGCAGUUCCCAAGUUAAGCUCGGGGAUUUCACAUCUGACUUAACAAACCGCCUGCGUGCGCUUUACGCCCAGUAAUUCCGAUUAACGCUUGCACCCUCCGUAUUACCGCGGCUGCUGGCACGGAGUUAGCCGGUGCUUCUUCUGCGAGUAACGUCAAUCGUUGCAGCUAUUAACUACAACGCCUUCCUCCUCGCUAGAAAGUGCUUUACAACCCUAAGGCCUUCUUCACACACGCGGCAUGGCUGCAUCAGGCUUGCGCCCAUUGUGCAAUAUUCCCCACUGCUGCCUCCCGUAGGA